RNAcentral lists this ribosomal RNA (450 nucleotides) under uncultured bacterium. Its description in RNAcentral is "bacterial SSU rRNA". It matches the Rfam family "Bacterial small subunit ribosomal RNA", at positions 936 to 1329 of the family's 1533-position model. The record is from RNAcentral.
AGCAUGUGGUUUUAUUCGAAGCAACGCGAAGAACCUUACCAGGCCUUGACAUCCAAUGAACUUUCCAGAGAUGGAUUGGUUGCCCUCGGGAACAUUGAUGACAGGUGCUGCAUGGCUGUCGUCAGCUUGUGUCGUGAGAUGUUGGGUUAAGUCCACGUGAACGAGCGCGACCCUUGUCCUUAGUUACCAGCACGUAAUGGUGGGCACUCUAGAGGAGACUGCCGGUGACAAACCGGAGGAAGGUGGGGAUAGACGUCAAGUCAUCAUGGCCCGUUACGGCGCUGGGCUACACACGUGCGUACUAAUGGUCGGUGACUAGAGGGUGUGCCAAGCCGCGAGGUGGAGCUGAAUCCCCAGUAAAACCGAUCGUAGUCCGUGAUCAGCAGUCUGCGAACUCGACGUGCGCGAAGUCGGUAAUCGCCAUAGUAAUCGCGCUUAUAUACGUAGCUA